This is a long non-coding RNA of Gallus gallus (chicken), 2527 nucleotides long. NCBI's taxonomy places the organism in Eukaryota, Metazoa, Chordata, Aves, Galliformes, Phasianidae. The record is from Ensembl.
GUUGAGUUAUACAUUUUUAUUUUCUAAGAGGUACAAUACUAAAAUAAACACAAAUUAAAAAAAAGUUUUAUUAAAACAAAACUGUACAAAAAAGCAGUUAUACUACAUUUUAAUUACAGAACAGUCUACUGUCCAAAAGGCACUAAUCCAGAAUAGGAGAUACAAUGAUACAGGACUCAUUUUAACUAUUUUAAUCAAUACAAUAGAGCACUUGUUUCUCUGUCCAUUCACAUACAGAAACAAGGACUUUUGCUACAGUCAUUACACACUGUUAUAAAUAUGAGCCCUACAUGGAAAGUGUCAUACACAGAAGACAAAGACAGGCAUCUGGAUGUUAACAAAAAUAAGUAACAAAGAAAUAUGAUUAAACAAAAUCUCUUCUCACAUCAUCCUAUACUACAUCCUCCUUCUGCUUAGCAGAAAAUUGUACGUACACAAAAAUACAAAUACACAAUUUUGUAGAACAGUCUGAUUUUAAUAUAUUUAUAUAUAUUUAUAUUUAUAUGAGUGGCAGGUUAGUUCAUUAUAUAGAGCUUUUUGCACUUUUGGCUCAUACGCAACAAGGCUUUAUAAAUUCAGCUUUAGCUUUCAUUCAGGUUUUAUAGCUUCUUGAACAUUUGUUUUCACAUUUAAAGCAGCAUCCAAUUUGCAAGAGGAGUUGGUGGUGGCUACAGCAAGGAUCAGGUCACGAGGUUAUUUGGGGUGAGGGGAGAAUAUACAUUCCAGUGUGUGCGCGCGCUAGUGCUCAUGUAAAAAAGAACAGAGAGUGAAGGUGUGACUCCAGGAUACCAUGUUUACCUCUUGAGGUAGGCACAACACCUACAGCAGAUGAGACACGGGUGCGACUCGCGGCGGGGCACAUGGUGUGAGGAAUGAGGCCAUGGGUGGAGGCAGCGGCAAAGGGACGGACCCACGGGAGCGCUGGGAGCCGUGGGACCAGCAGAGCUGGCACAGCUCAUCCCGACUGACUGAUGCGUGUGGAGACGUGGGGAGGAAUUGCAGGGCACUGCAGCUGCCCCGCACGCAUGAGACCACGACAACUCAUGUUCACCAGAGUGCUCUGAGGCACACAGCUGGCCCGGCACUCCCAUCCCAACGUGACGGCGGAACAAAACGAGGGUGCACAAAACCCCAAAAUGGAAACCCCAACCCUUAGCACAUCACAGACAGCCUGGGGACUUUGCUUUCCUCACCCUCCUUCUGUGCCCCCCGUACUGUUCCGUUGCCUUUUCACUUCUGGGUUGGACACAGUCGCUGCUAAGCUCUUUUCAAUGACAACCACCAUUAUCGACAAUCACUUCGUUUAGGAAAAAAAUCACAGUUAAAAAAAGGCAUCUCUGGAGCAGGGGGACAGCACGACAUCCAACGGUCUGCGUGUACUACGGGCUCCACAAGCACUUUGUUCUCAUCAGCACUCCAGCAAUAGAUUCUCCUUUGAUCAUUGCUUAGACCAACACCCAUCGACAUCCUACAAGCUCCCUUUCCAUUCUCUGCAGAAGAGAUAUCCUUACAGCUUCUCUUGCCAAAUUUCCUAGGCUUUCCCAACUCACAUGUAAUUAAGUCGUCACGGUGAAAACAACACUUAGUUACUCAUGAAAAAUAAAACAUCUAUGUAUGGGUUGCUUUCAUUUUCGGAACCCUCCAGUGGUACCAACACACCUUACCAGCGUUCCCUUAUUUUAUUUCCUUUUGCUAUGGUCAGAAGAAAUUCUUAAAUGCAACUUUUUAAACUAGUAUUGAUAUCUUUUGUUUUACGCACUUAAAAUUCUCGUUUUUACAAGGUUAUAACCACCUGCCAAUCAUUACAUUAUUUUGACAAAAUGUUUAGCAGGUGCCACUCUAACGAGCCUAGAAAUAAUUAAGAAUAAAGGAAGAAACCACCUCUGUGAUUCCAAGAAGGGGUAAUUAUGGAUAUCAGCCACUCCUACCCAGAACCGCAGAUGUAGGGUUAUCCAGAGAUGCAAGAUGAAUGCACAAAGCCAUUUGCAUCUGGAAUCCCAGAAGCAGUUUCCUACCAAAUUCCGCCCGAGCUUCCCCCUCCUUCCCAUCCACCCUAAAACAGAGAUUGCCACGGUUUGGCUGAGAAACACUGUCUGUUAAGAAGUUCCCCACCAACAAGUUUUAGGUUGGAGAAUGAGGGGAGCAGCAUGAGGAAAGGGAUUUCUUCCCUGCUGGAUUCUGCAGGGCUACAGACUCCCACUGCUCCUCCGGAGGGAGCGCAGCGAGGGCUCUGUUCUUAGGAGGGAAUGAGGUCUAAUCCUAUUUCUCCAGCUCACUCUGGAGUCCUGUUACUCACUUAGGCACUUUUUAAAUCGACACUAAGAAAAAAAAAAAUAAUUAAAAAAGUACUGCACAUAUUUCACACUUCCUGGGCUUUUACGAGCCUUGGGAAGAUCACAGAGACCAAGGGGGAGACAGCCAAGGCCAUCUGUCAAAAAAACAGUGCUCCCCGUGGACAUAACCCACUUCUAAUUGUCACCCUUUGACAGAACCGCUGUUGAACUAAACCUGGUUUGAAUCUGUCACU